GUCUACGGCCACGCCACCCUGAACGCGCACGAUCCGGCUGAUCUUGGACGCUAAGCAGGGUCGGGCCUGGUGAGUACUGGGAUGGGAGACCACCUAGGAAGACCAGGUGCUGUAGGAG
This 118-nucleotide ribosomal RNA is filed under the name Pteropus alecto (black flying fox). The record is from RNAcentral. Lineage: Eukaryota; Metazoa; Chordata; Mammalia; Chiroptera; Pteropodidae.